This 64-nucleotide transfer RNA is filed under the name Triticum aestivum (bread wheat). It matches the Rfam family "tRNA". From Rfam's summary of the family: Transfer RNA (tRNA) molecules are approximately 80 nucleotides in length. The record is from Rfam by way of RNAcentral. RNAcentral also lists the same sequence under 1 other name. Lineage: Eukaryota; Viridiplantae; Streptophyta; Magnoliopsida; Poales; Poaceae.
CACUACUCAGUUGGUAAAGUAUAAGGCUCUUAACCUUGUGGACGUGGGUUCGAGCCCAUGGUGA